Molecule: ribosomal RNA, 1777 nt
Filed under: Phialophora verrucosa
Lineage: Eukaryota; Fungi; Ascomycota; Eurotiomycetes; Chaetothyriales; Herpotrichiellaceae
Description: SSU rRNA
Rfam family: Eukaryotic small subunit ribosomal RNA
Source: RNAcentral
CCCUCUGGGCUCCUUGGUGAUUCAUAAUAACUUAACGAAUCGCAUGGCCUUGCGCCGGCGAUGGUUCAUUCAAAUUUCUGCCCUAUCAAUUUUCGAUGGUAGAGUAGUGGUCUACCAUGAUCUUAACGGGUAACGGGGAAUUAGGGUUCUAUUCCGGAGAAGGAGCCUGAGAAACGGCUACUACAUCCAAGGAAGGCAGCAGGCGCGCAAAUUACCCAAUGCUAAUUCAGCGAGGUAGUGACAAUAAAUACUGAUACGGGGCUCUUUCGGGUCUCGUAAUUGGAAUGAGUACAAUCUAAAUCCCUUAACGAGGAACAAUUGGAGGGCAAGUCUGGUGCCAGCAGCCGCGGUAAUUCCAGCUCCAAUAGCGUAUAUUAAAGUUGUUGCCGUUAAAAAGCUCGUAGUUGAACCUUGGACCUGGCUGAUCUGUCCUCCUAAUCGAGCGCACGGAUUCGGUCGGGUCUUUCCUUCUGGGGAGCCCUAUGCCCUUCACUGGGUGUAGUGGGGAACCAGGACUUUUACCUUGAAAAAAUUAGAGUGUUCAAAGCAGGCCUUUGCUCGAAUACAUUAGCAUGGAAUAAUAGAAUAGGACAUCGGUUCUAUUUUGUUGGUUUCUAGGACCGCUGUAAUGAUUAAUAGGGAUAGUCGGGGGCGUCAGUAUUCAAUUGUCAGAGGUGAAAUUCUUGGAUUUAUUGAAGACUAACUACUGCGAAAGCAUUCGCCAAGGAUGUUUUCAUUAAUCAGUGAACGAAAGUUAGGGGAUCGAAGACGAUCAGAUACCGUCGUAGUCUUAACCAUAAACUAUGCCGACUAGGGAUCGGACGGUGGUUUUUUUAUGCCCCGUUCGGCACCUUACGAGAAAUCAAAGUUUUUGGGCUCGGGGGGGAGUAUGGUCGCAAGGCUGAAACUUAAAGAAAUUGACGGAAGGGCACCACCAGGCGUGGAGCCUGCGGCUUAAUUUGACUCAACACGGGGAAACUCACCAGGUCCAGACAUGCUUAGGAUUGACAGAUUGAUAGCUCUUUCUUGAUUGUAUGGGUGGUGGUGCAUGGCCGUUCUUAGUUGGUGGAGUGAUUUGUCUGCUUAAUUGCGAUAACGAACGAGACCUUGACCUGCUAAAUAGCCAGGUUGACUUUUGUCGGCCGCCGGCUUCUUAGAGGGACUUUUGGCUCAAGCCAAUGGAAGUACGAGGCAAUAACAGGUUAACCUUUGGAGUUACAUUCCAUCACAGGCCUGUAAGAGUGAACCUCGAUAAAAAAUCACUAGUCAAGCAUCAUUCCUCUUGGUGGAAGUUCCACCUAUAGUCGGGAGAGGAGCAGCCGUUCAGCGGUUGUCGAUGCUGGCGAGACAACCUGGUUCAGGGGACGCUUCUCCAUACUCUUCGGUGUGGAUGCCAAUCCUGAGGCGAGCCAAAGUAGCGUUUGGCCGUCGCAACGCGCGCAAAGGUGUCGGCCCUACGCUCGAGAGAGCUGGGGUUUGAGGUACGUGCUAAUUCCCUAGGAAACUAGGCUUCAGUAUGUGAGGUCCGACGCAUGCCAAACUACUGGAGGGUUCCAAGUCUCUUGGAACUGAAGAGGGUCUCUCGGAGACCCCCUAUAUGCUGUGAUGCCCUUAGAUGUCCUGGGCUGCACGCGCGCUACACUGACAGAGCCAGCGAGUACAUCACCUUGGCCGAAAGGUCUGGGUAAUCUUGUUAAACUCUGUCGUGCUGGGGAUAGAGCAUUGCAAUUAUUGCUCUUCAACGAGGAAUGCCUAGUAAGCGCAAGUCAUCAGCUUG